AACUUUCAACAAUGGAUCUCUUGGUUCUGGCAUCGAUGAAGAACGCAGCGAAAUGCGAUAAGUAGUGUGAAUUGCAGAAUUCAGUGAAUCAUCGAAUCUUUGAACGCACAUUGCGCCCCUUGGUAUUCCGGGGGGCAUGCCUGUUCGAGCGUCAUUUA
This 158-nucleotide ribosomal RNA is filed under the name Ascomycota sp. Js_6294. Its description in RNAcentral is "5.8S ribosomal RNA". It matches the Rfam family "5.8S ribosomal RNA". From Rfam's summary of the family: 5.8S ribosomal RNA (5.8S rRNA) is a component of the large subunit of the eukaryotic ribosome. The record is from RNAcentral. Lineage: Eukaryota; Fungi; Ascomycota.